GGAACGUAUGUGUGUGCGAGAAUGGAAACGGAAGGAAAAGGGGUCGAUGGGGAGGCUAAAAAAAGAUCGAAAUUGUGGUGCUUAAUCAAGAAAUUUUAGUUCAGUAAUCAUCUACUAGUUAUUUGGAAACAAGGUUUUAAUGUUGAUGCUGAACAAGCUAGGCAUGUUAAAGCUUGGAAAUCAAUGAUUCAAAGUCGAAGAUAAACUAACAAGAACCCUAUGGGAAAAGGUAAAGCUCCAAAAUAGUAAAGUUCGGGUUCAAAGUGGAGCCCCCAUUUAGUGAAGCAGGAGCUAAAUAUCCCGAGUUGAAAUUAAUGAAGCCUUCGUUUAAGGCCUGUGAAAUGCUCUCUACUUGGUUGACGAUUGGUGAUCGAGUCUCAAAGCGGUUCAAGAACACACAUCAUGAUGUUGGUCGACAUUUUGAAAAUGCGUCAACAAUUUGUUAAGUUGUUUCAUGCAACUUUUUCUUUGGUUUUAAAUAACU
Molecule: long non-coding RNA, 484 nt
Filed under: Helianthus annuus (common sunflower)
Lineage: Eukaryota; Viridiplantae; Streptophyta; Magnoliopsida; Asterales; Asteraceae
Description: sRNA HanXRQr2_Chr04g0159171
Source: RNAcentral